This 425-nucleotide ribosomal RNA is filed under the name uncultured bacterium. RNAcentral's name for it is "partial 16S ribosomal RNA". It matches the Rfam family "Bacterial small subunit ribosomal RNA", at positions 354 to 796 of the family's 1533-position model. The record is from RNAcentral.
GUGGGGAAUCUUAGACAAUGGGCGCAAGCCUGAUCUAGCCAUGCCGCGUGAGCGAUGAAGGCCUUAGGGUUGUAAAGCUCUUUCAGUGGGGAAGAUAAUGACUGUACCCACAGAAGAAGCCCCGGCUAACUCCGUGCCAGCAGCCGCGGUAAUACGGAGGGGGCUAGCGUUGUUCGGAAUUACUGGGCGUAAAGCGCACGUAGGCGGACUGGAAAGUCAGGGGUGAAAUCCCGGGGCUCAACCCCGGAACUGCCUUUGAAACUCCCAGUCUUGAGGUCGAGAGAGGUGAGUGGAAUUCCGAGUGUAGAGGUGAAAUUCGUAGAUAUUCGGAGGAACACUAGUGGCGAAGGCGGCUCACUGGCUCGAUACUGACGCUGAGGUGCGAAAGCGUGGGGAGCAAACAGGAUUAGAAACCCCAGUAGUCC